UUUUUAAGCUCUUUUAUGUUGAAUGGCUCUCUUUUGUAAAGGAGGUGGAACUGGAUCUCUUACAGAGCUAUUUUAGAGAAUAACUGAGCAUUGGCUGAGCAGAGUGGGUGAGGGGAAGUGGUCACCAAAUGGGGUAUCCUGUUUCUCAUUAUCAGGACAAUUAUUUCUGACAAAUUAAGCAUGACAGUUAGUGGUCCUCUUAACUCUGAGGAAUAAUCAUUAAAUGGGUUUAAAAUAGCUAAUUAUUGAAGUAGUUUAAAACUGUUUACUCAACUAAUUUAAAGUAUGUAAAUUCCUUAAUGCUUUCUUUGGGCUCUAGAAGCUAGAAGCCUCUGGACAACAAAUUGUACCCCAAUUAGAUUAUAUUUUGCUCACUGGCAAUUAGGUCUGAGGGCCCUGGGAGAAUGGGCUAUAUAAGUAGGGAGAUUUCAUUUCAGUUGGAAAAGAUCCUGGAACAUUGCAGGAAAGGAUAGACUCAUUAGCUAUUUAGAAAUAUAAUAUGCUGGAGCUAUGAUGCC
Molecule: long non-coding RNA, 518 nt
Filed under: Bos taurus (domestic cattle)
Lineage: Eukaryota; Metazoa; Chordata; Mammalia; Artiodactyla; Bovidae
Description: long non-coding RNA NONBTAT014060
Source: RNAcentral